RNAcentral lists this ribosomal RNA (119 nucleotides) under Schistosoma margrebowiei. The record is from RNAcentral. Lineage: Eukaryota; Metazoa; Platyhelminthes; Trematoda; Strigeidida; Schistosomatidae.
GUCUGCAACCAUAAUACGUCGGAAACACCGGUUCACGUCCGAUAACCAAAACUAUGCAACGUUAGGCCCGAUCAGCAUUCACAUGGGUGGCCGGAUGUUAAAACAGGAUGUCGCAGGCU